RNAcentral lists this long non-coding RNA (3483 nucleotides) under Vigna radiata. RNAcentral describes it as "long non-coding RNA (VRAD_LNC005417)". Lineage: Eukaryota; Viridiplantae; Streptophyta; Magnoliopsida; Fabales; Fabaceae. The record is from RNAcentral.
UCAACUUGAACUACGUCCAAUUCUUCAAGGAUUCUUAAGGGGUUCCACUAAUUUUUAAUAAUAUUACAUGAGUUUUACCUCUCCAGGUUUACAACAAUAUUCUUACCACUUCUGGUCACCUAGUCAACACGACUAGUUCGAGUUUAACCACUCUUAGUUUAGUGGUCUAAACCCUAGUCAACACGACUAGACAAUUGUUUUAAUUCUCUUCAGAAUUUACAAUGCAGAAAGUGUUAUGAUCAAAGGUAUAGAUGAUAACUCUCAAAGAGAGGAUAUAUGACAUACAAGGAGUUCUGUGAUUUGCUAAAUUUUUUCUCUCAAAAUAUAUUUAACUUCAGAUAAAUAUGAGCAUGGUAAGUUUGAGUUCAUUAUUAUAUUUUUCUUAUAUUUUCCUUCUUAUGUUAUCAUUCUUCUUUUCUUCUCUUCAAACUUUCGUCUAUAUAUAGCUUCUCUUGAAAGUUGACCAUUAGACUGAGAAGUUAACUUCAAGAAAGCAUGUAGCUUCAGGUAGGAAGUCAAUCUUUAGUCUUCUUUGUAGUGAUCAUUGCUUUAUCAUAGCCUUAAGAAAAGCGGAGCCUGAAAGAUGUGACGGAGCAUAAGGCUUUAAGGGAAACAUUCCUAGAAUAUUUUUCAUCUCUCACAAUGUCUUUUCUUAGGUGCAAUGAUUCUAAUAAUAUCUUUCUCCUUUAGUGAUCUACACAAAUAUCAAAAACAAAGUAUACAAACAUCUAAGCACUUUAUUGUACAUACAUUAAAUGUUUUGAACAUUGAUAAACGUUAGACUAUAUUACAUGUUCAAGACAUUUUAUCAUUUCUAUGUCAUUUAUAAAUGCAUCCUUCGAUAAAGCAUACAACAUGUAUAAUCAUCAAAUUGUAUAAAAUAUUAAAUGCUUUUUUCAAAGACUAUAACGUUUAGUGGUUAUUCAUUAGAUGAUGGAUUCUUUAAGAUGUUUUGCUUGAGAUAACAUUAUACAACAAAACAUUUUAGCCUUAGUGUUAUACAAGAAAUAUACUUUCUUGCUCAUAAAACGUUAGCUUAUUAUUCAUAUAGUCUAUUAGAUGAUUUCAGUAAGAUAUGGUUUCUUAGACAAUUUAGCCUAAAGAACAUUGUCUAGAUGUUACAAGAUAUUCCUUUCAUCGACGAUAUUUAUUUAAAAUAACUUUUCAUACACAAUAAUAUUUCUUUUAAUAUUUUUUGUUAAACUUCAAAACCUGAGUUGUUUAGACCAUAAAUUCUUUAGAUGAUCUUGUCUUAAUAAUUUCUUCCUUUUUUAUGAUUAACAAAUACAAAUUCUAAACAAAAUAGUCUUGAAAAGAUUUUCAAAACAUUUGUAUCAGAGUAUAAAUAUGUUUUGUAAAAAAUAUCAGAACAAAUAUGAAUUCUUCGAUAAUAGAAAUUUUCCUUCUUUUACUAUAUUCAAAGCGUUUAUAUGUCAAGAAUUAUAUCAAAGUGUAAAGUGUAAAUAUUAAACAGAUUAUAUUAGAGCAUUCAUUUUAUUAUAGUGAAGAAGUAUCAUAGCGAAACAUUUUUUUUUUUUUAUAUUUACCAAAGAAAAUGAAAACAUCGUUUGAUUUUCUUUUUCAAGUAUGUGAGAAUAUAGUUUAACAUUCUCAGAAGAAAAUAUUAUCAGAACAAAUGUGAUUUAUAGCAUCAGACAAUUAUCAUUUUAUUUAAGCGAUUAUUAUUAAAAAAUCAAUUCUCCUCACUUCUUAUUGUUGUCCUCACUUUAAACAUUUUGUUUUUAACAUAGGCCAUCUCCCAUAAUACUUUGAUAGAUUUAUGAGAUAUUUGUGUUCGAAGUCCCAUAUCGACUAGAGAUAAGGCCAAUUUAUAAUAUAUAAGUGGGGUGCAGACCUUACCUUACAAACUAGUUUUGUGGGGUUGAGUUAAGUCUAGAAUCCACUUCUAACAAUUUGUACCACUAACCUGGACAAAAUUCAACACAGCAAAAAACACCUCUGAUGCACUACCACGUCGGACCAUCCCUUUUGCUAAACAGGACAGUUUCCUGCAAAAACUACCUUUGAAGUUCAAACAUGCUGAACCAAUCUUGGCUACUUUUAGAAUUUAAACUAUGCAAUAAACGCUAUAGAGACAACCCUUGAAAUUCUCACUACAAUAUGUCUCCUUAAAGCUAACCUGGACAAACUCCAUUUCUGCGUAUACAGGCCUAAUAGCUUACUUCAUGGAACUGCCAAACUGUGAACUAUGACAGUUUUAAAGACUGCAGAAACCCCCUGACAUUCUUACCUAAUCCUACCAAGACACUCCACUCAGUCACGGCUCAUUCACAAAGCAAAUACACUUGACUCUCACACACUCAAAAAUCCUGGACCACACUGCAUUUGAGAGCUAUAUCAAACCAUUGCAUUCCAGACUCCUAACACCAGGGGAAAAAUCUGUACGCACUAGGCUGCUACACUAACACUUCCCAUUCUAUAACUACUCCCCAACCAUAGGGUUGUACUCAAAACUCCUAAUCGCAGACUACGUGAAGCCACUGCUCUGCACCUUUUAGAAACCCUCAGUUCGUUCCUUCCAACUCAUAAUAUUGCAUUUCAAGUUCAAUUACUCAAACAUACGAGACCAAAAGCAUAUAAAACUUCAAGCACAUAGGAUUAGUUAAUUACCACCACAGAUUUAAGGCUAUACCGAAACAGAUUUAAGCCAAAAAACCAUAAACUGGUUUACGUUCACAUCAUUCACAGAAUACAAUAAUAUAAACCAGCAUUUUAGCCACAGCAGCAUACAUGAGUGGUUCAAACCAGCAAGAGUAUAGCGUCUAAUUCAGCCUAUCCUGUUCUACAAACAUACAUUCUCAAAGGCCAAAAACAGCCCUUCACCCGAUUAGGAUUCAUAUAUUCACAAACCAGACUUUGUUUUAGUAAAAUAGUGAAUGGAAAUGUGUUAAAAGCACGAUACGUUCUACACCACAGCAUACAUCAAGUCUGCCCCCAAGGCAGCCUAUCCAGCAAUUUCCAGAACUAACAUAGCAAUCACAAAAUGGUCAUUCCUCAAUUCAGACUUUUCAUAGCUAAUUACACCGCAUUGAAUAGGAUAUAAUCUAAGGGAUUAAUGCUAACCCGGUUGCUGCCUAUUGCACCUACAAUUUCAACUCAAUAACAAAAUAAUAAAACCAUUUCCAGCAGUACAGUUAUAAUUCAAUUCAUGGUAAGCCUAGAAAAGAAGGAAAAAUAGUAUAAUGACACUUUCAUUACAUCCAAUUAAGAAAUUCCAGGGCACUGAACAAAAAAGCAUUCCACCACAGUUCACAAAAUUAAAACUCACAGAAAAGAAUCAGGUUACUACCAUCCCCUUACCUUGCUUUGUCCUAGCUCUUUUCUCGGCACCAAAUGAUUCUCCAAUUACACAUUUUAUCUAGUCAAGGACUAGAACACAAUAUCACGUUACAUUGAACUUAUGUUAUUUGUUAUUAUUAUUUAUAUAUAUUGAUAAAAUCCUAUAAAUAUUCUUAAUUUAAC